Molecule: non-coding RNA, 97 nt
Organism: Rheinheimera sp. F8
Lineage: Bacteria; Pseudomonadati; Pseudomonadota; Gammaproteobacteria; Chromatiales; Chromatiaceae
Rfam family: Bacterial small signal recognition particle RNA
About the family: The signal recognition particle (SRP) is a universally conserved ribonucleoprotein involved in the co-translational targeting of proteins to membranes. Archaeal SRP consists of a 7S RNA and homologues of the eukaryotic SRP19 and SRP54 proteins. In most bacteria, the SRP consists of a 4.5S RNA and the Ffh protein (a homologue of the eukaryotic SRP54 protein).
Source: Rfam
UAUUGGUCCUCCCGCAAUAGUAGUUCGUGAACCCGGUCAGGUCCGGAAGGAAGCAGCCGCAGCGAAUGAUCUAUGUGCCGGGAUGUGGCUGGUAAGG